RNAcentral lists this ribosomal RNA (1371 nucleotides) under metagenome. RNAcentral describes it as "bacterial LSU rRNA". It matches the Rfam family "Bacterial large subunit ribosomal RNA", at positions 758 to 2130 of the family's 2925-position model. The record is from RNAcentral.
AGCAGGUACUGGAGGUCCGAACCCACUAAUGUUGAAAAAUUAGGGGAUGAGCUGUGGAUAGGGGUGAAAGGCUAAACAAAUCCGGAAAUAGCUGGUUCUCCCCGAAAACUAUUUAGGUAGUGCGUCAUGUAUCACUUGCGGGGGUAAAGCACUGUUAUGGCUAGGGGGUCAUCGCGACUUACCAAACCAUGGCAAACUCUGAAUACCGCAAAGUGCGAGCAUGGCAGACAGACAGUGGGUGCUAACGUCCAUUGUCAAGAGGGAAACAACCCAGACCGCCAGCUAAGGUCCCCAAGACACAGUUAAGUGGGAAACGAAGUGGGAAGGCAUAGACAGCUAGGAGGUUGGCUUAGAAGCAGCCAUCCUUUAAAGAAAGCGUAAUAGCUCACUAGUCGAGUCGUCCUGCGCGGAAGAUGUAACGGGGCUCAAACUGUGCACCGAAGCUGCGGAUAUCGAAAGAUAUGGUAGGGGAGCGUUCUGUAGGUCUGUGAAGGUGUCUUGUAAAGGAUGCUGGAGAUAUCAGAAGUGCGAAUGCUGACAUGAGUAGCGAUAAAGGGCGUGAAAAGCGCCCUCACCGAAAGCCCAAGGUUUCCUACGCAACGUUCAUCGGCGUAGGGUGAGUCGGCUCCUAAGGCGAGGCAGAAAUGCGUAGUCGAUGGGAAACAGGUCAAUAUUCCUGUACCGAUUCUAGAUGCGAUGUGGGGACGGAGAAGGUUAGGUCAGCCGGGUGUUGGACGUCCCGGUUUAAGCGUGUAGGCGUGCCCCUUAGGCAAAUCCGGGGGGCUGAGCUGAGGCGUGACGACGAGGAACCACGGUUCCGAAGCGAUUGAUACCAAGCUUCCAGGAAAAGCCACUAAGCUUCAGUCUAGAGUUGACCGUACCGCAAACCGACACAGGUGGGCAGGAUGAAAAUUCUAAGGCGCUUGAGAGAACUCAGGAGAAGGAACUCGGCAAAUUAACACCGUAACUUCGGGAGAAGGUGUGCCCCGGUAGCGUGUAGAGACUUGCUCUCGAAGCGCGAUGGGGUUGCAGUGAAAUGGUGGCUGCGACUGUUUAAUAAAAACACAGCACUCUGCAAACACGAAAGUGGACGUAUAGGGUGUGACGCCUGCCCGGUGCCGGAAGGUUAAGUGAUGGGGUGCAAGCUCUUGAUCGAAGCCCCGGUAAACGGCGGCCGUAACAAUAACGGUCCUAAGGUAGCGAAAUUCCUUGUCGGGUAAGUUCCGACCUGCACGAAUGGCGUAACGAUGGCCACACUGUCUCCUCCUGGGACUCAGCGAAGUUGAAAUGUUUGUGAAGAUGCAAUCUACCCGCGGCUAGACGGAAAGACCCCAUGAACCUUUACCGUAGCUUUGCAUUGGACUUUGAACC